This 1413-nucleotide ribosomal RNA is filed under the name Triticum aestivum (bread wheat). Its description in RNAcentral is "partial small subunit ribosomal RNA". Lineage: Eukaryota; Viridiplantae; Streptophyta; Magnoliopsida; Poales; Poaceae. The record is from RNAcentral.
AUGAUGGCCAUUGUUGAUCACCUCAAACACCUCUGCAUUGACCAAUAUUUCCAAGACGAGAUCGGCAAUGUCGUGGACUCAUGCAUGGAUCUCACCCAUAGUGAUAAUCUCCUCGAUGUAGCCCUUUCCAUGAGGCUGAUGAGGGAAGCUGGAUAUCAUGUUUCAGCUGAUGAGGUUCUUCAAAAGUUUGCAAAUGGUAAUGGUGAUUUCAGCCUAGCUCAUAGCCAAGACAUCAGAGGAUUGCUGAGCUUGCAAGAUGUGUCACACCUCAAUAUGGGAGAAGCUUCACUCUACAAGGCAAAGGAGUACUCAGGCAAACACCUUAGAUCUACACUGAAGUACUUGGAGCCAAAUCUUGCAAGACAUGUAAGGCAGUCACUAGACCAUCCCUAUCAUGUCAGCCUGAUGCAGUACAAGGCCAGGCACCACCUGAGCUACCUCCAGACCUUGCCCACUAGGAACACGGCAAUUGAGAAGCUGGCACUUGCAGAGUUUCAGAUUAACAAGUUGCAACAUCAGAAGGAACUGCAAGAGAUUAAGGGAUGGUGGAUGGAUCUGGGAUUGGCUCAAGAAAUACCUGCUGCAAGGAACCAAUUAGUGAAAUGGUACAUGUGGCCCAUGACUAUCCUCGAGGGUUACUCCUUCUCUAAGUAUCGAAUUGAGAUCACAAAGAUCAUCUCAAUGGUAUACAUUGUGGAUGACAUCUUUGAUCUUGUUGCCACACAAGAGGAGCUAUCCCUCUUUAAUGAGGCAAUCAUAAUGUGGAAUCUUGAAGCUGCUGAUUCACUCCCAAGCUACAUGAUAUCAUGCUACAAGGCUCUUUACAAUAUAACAAAUGAUAUCGCUGAUAUGUCCAAGAAAGAGCAUGGACUGAACCCAAUUGAUCAUCUCAAGAAAGCUUGGGCAACUUUGUUUAACGGAUUCAUGAUUGAGGCAAAAUGGUUGUCUGGUAAUCACGCCCCUACACGGGACGACUACCUGAAAAACGGCAUCAUCACCUCAGGAGCACCACUUUUGUUUAUGCACCUUCUCUUCAUGCUAGGCCAUGAUUUAACGGAGGAAAACAACGACCACAUGUCUCGGAUUAUCUCAUGCCCAGCAAAAAUCAUGAGGCUCUGGGACGACAUGGGCAGUGCAAAGGAUGAAGCACAAGAAGGGCUCGAUGGAUCGUACAAGGAGCUCUACCUAAAAGAGAGCCCUCAUAGUGACGCGGAGGGGCACAUGUUAGAGAUGAUUGCAGAUGAGUGGGAGUGUCUCAACAGGGAGUGCUUCUCCAGGACGAGGUCAUCACUAUCCCCUACCUUCAUUCGAGCGUCACUCAAUUUUGCAAGGAUGGUCAGCGUCAUGUAUGGCUACGACCACGAGCACAGGCUCCCUGUCCUUGAGGAUUACACCAGAAUGCUACUCUUCUGA